AUUGAACGCUGGCGGCAUGCCUUACACAUGCAAGUCGAACGGCAGCACGGGGGCAACCCUGGUGGCGAGUGGCGAACGGGUGAGUAACAUAUCGGAACGUGCCCUGGAGUGGGGGAUAACUAGUCGAAAGACUAGCUAAUACCGCAUACGAUCUACGGAUGAAAGUGGGGGAUCGCAAGACCUCAUGCUCGUGGAGCGGCCGAUAUCUGAUUAGCUAGUUGGGGGGUAAAGGCCUACCAAGGCAUCGAUCAGUAGCUGGUCUGAGAGGACGACCAGCCACACUGGGACUGAGACACGGCCCAGACUCCUACGGGAGGCAGCAGGUGGGGAAUUUUGGACAAUGGGCGCAAGCCUGAUCCAGCAAUGCCGCGUGAGUGAAGAAGGCC
Molecule: ribosomal RNA, 386 nt
Filed under: uncultured bacterium
Lineage: Bacteria
Description: bacterial SSU rRNA
Rfam family: Bacterial small subunit ribosomal RNA
Source: RNAcentral